This 390-nucleotide unclassified non-coding RNA is filed under the name Hevea brasiliensis (rubber tree). Lineage: Eukaryota; Viridiplantae; Streptophyta; Magnoliopsida; Malpighiales; Euphorbiaceae. The record is from RNAcentral.
ACUGAGAUGCCCGUCAUGGUUCAGGUAUUUCUGGUUUGCGUUUGUUCUCGUCGAAUGCAUAUGGACACGCACUUUCAUGCUGCUUAUGUAUGCGUGCAGUGUAUUGGGAAAAGCGUUUAAAUAUCAUGUAGAUGCUUUUGACUCGGAGAGUUGGAAUUCAUUUAUGCCGUGUGUUGCCUGGGGGAAGUUAUCUAUUGGGUGUAUGUCACCAAAAGAGUGUCUUUUGGUGGAAGUGGGAGAUUAUGCAUAUACACUUAGCGAUAUGAAUAUGAUAAUUAGUGCAUUGCGAAUGAAGUGUUCUCAUAAUGCGUGCUAAUGAGAAAGUGGUUAGCUUUGAUGGUGAAAAUAUGGGAUGCCAUUCUUUUGCAGAUACAGGAAUUGGUCCGAGGA